Molecule: ribosomal RNA, 253 nt
Filed under: uncultured bacterium
Lineage: Bacteria
Description: partial 16S ribosomal RNA
Rfam family: Bacterial small subunit ribosomal RNA
Source: RNAcentral
UACGGAGGGUGCAAGCGUUGUUCGGAAUUACUGGGCGUAAAGGGCUCGUAGGUGGCCAACUAAGUCAGACGUGAAAUCCCUCGGCUUAACCGGGGAACUGCGUCUGAUACUGGAUGGCUUGAGUUCGGGAGAGGGAUGCGGAAUUCCAGGUGUAGCGGUGAAAUGCGUAGAUAUCUGGAGGAACACCGGUGGCGAAGGCGGCAUCCUGGACCGACACUGACACUGAGGAGCGAAAGCCAGGGGAGCAAACGGG